UCUUAUAUCAAGCUAAAUGCGGCAGCCACCCACCAUACGGGGAGACAAAAUGAGGCCCCUCCAUAUUCCAUCCAUUAUCACGUCAUUCAUUGUUCAUAUGCCCAUCUACUGAAUUAAAGCCUAGCUCGGCUUCCUCAUGCCCCCUGCUCUCAUCUCCAUAGCAUGAUUGAAUCUUCUACCUACUAAUUACCGGGCAUGCGGCGGCGGCGGCGCCGGCAACAUCGAUUGUAGACUGAACUCUCCGGCUAGACCAGCGAAGAUGCUACUACAAGGUUGAACAAGCAGAUCAAGAGGCACCAGAUCAAUCAAAGAGGAACGCCAUACCGAGACGACGACCAUCAAAGCGGAGCCGUGGGCUGCCAUCACAAUGAUGAGUUUCGACGUGGACCUGGAUUGCGCUAGAUGCAUUUAUCUCCUCAAGCCUGUUCUGUGUUCUGUGGUGAUCUUUUAAUCAUAAGUUGAUUCCAUUGCAAACAGAAAAGUAGCUCAUCAGUUUUUUGGUUUCUCCUUUUACAAAUCCAGCGCUAAUCAGGCUUUCCUAGGAUGGAACUCAGGUUCAUCUAUUGCAAAUCA
Long non-coding RNA from Aegilops tauschii subsp. strangulata, 573 nucleotides. RefSeq lists it as uncharacterized. The record is from RefSeq and is a predicted model, not a curated record. NCBI's taxonomy places the organism in Eukaryota, Viridiplantae, Streptophyta, Magnoliopsida, Poales, Poaceae.